Molecule: ribosomal RNA, 372 nt
Filed under: Philautus aurifasciatus (Java bubble-nest frog)
Lineage: Eukaryota; Metazoa; Chordata; Amphibia; Anura; Rhacophoridae
Description: partial 12S ribosomal RNA
Rfam family: Bacterial small subunit ribosomal RNA
Source: RNAcentral
GCCAAGCCGUAAAAUUAACUUACACUACUAACGCCAGGGAAUUACGAGCUUUAGCUUAAAACCCAAAGGACUUGACGGUGUCCCAUCCCACUAGAGGAGCCUGUUCUAUAAUCGAUGAUCCACGCUAUACCUAACCAUUUUUUGCUUUUCAGCCUGUAUACCUCCGUCGCAAGCCUACCAUAUGAAUGAAUUAUAGUAGGCUCAAUAGCCUAAACGCUACAACGUCAGGUCAAGGUGCAGCUUAUAAAAUGGAUGAAAUGAGCUACAAUUUCUAAUCUAGAACAAACGAAUUACUAUAUGAAACACAGUCAUAAAGGCGGAUUUAGCAGUAAAUGCGGAAUAGAGAGCCCCAUUAAAUCUGGCCCUGGGACG